This is a non-coding RNA of Phrynosoma platyrhinos (Desert horned lizard), 71 nucleotides long. The record is from the annotation of a GenBank genome assembly. NCBI's taxonomy places the organism in Eukaryota, Metazoa, Chordata, Lepidosauria, Squamata, Phrynosomatidae.
GCCAGCAUAGUGUAGUGGUUUGAGCUUUGGGCUCUGACUCUGGAGACCAAGGUUCAAUUCCCUGCUUGGCC